This 290-nucleotide ribosomal RNA is filed under the name uncultured bacterium. RNAcentral's name for it is "partial 16S ribosomal RNA". It matches the Rfam family "Bacterial small subunit ribosomal RNA", at positions 123 to 409 of the family's 1533-position model. The record is from RNAcentral.
AAUCUGCCCAUAUCAUCUGGGAUAACACAACGCAAAGAUGUCGCUAAUACCGAAUAACAUACAAGUUGCGGCAUCGCAAAUGUAUCACAGUCAAAGCGGAUAUGGAUGAGCCUGCGUCUGAUUAGCUAGUUGGUAGGCUAAAGGCCUACCAAGGCAACGAUCAGUAGACGACCUGAGAGGGUGAUCGGCCACACUGGAACUGAUACACGGUCCAGACUCCUACGGGAGGCAUCAGUGGGGAAUAUUGCACACUGGGCGCCAGCCUGAUGCAGCAACGCCGCGUGAACGAA